CAGAAACCAUCAGGACCCGCUUUAUGAAACCUUGCUUACUGAAUAGUCAGAGAUAGUGAAGGAAAAACAUUGCAGAAAUGAGAAAACAGACAAACUAGCAAAGGAAGCAGUCCAAAAAAAAAAAAAAAAAAAGAGUGGAUAAUUUAAGAGAUAAGGGAGCUAACAAAUAGCAAAUAAUAUGUAAGCUGAGAAUGGGACAUAGCAGACUUCACAUAAUAGGAAACAUUCAACAGGACAAUGAGAUCAAUGUUUUUAAGUUAUGUGAGAAAUUCAUUCACAACAGAAAAUAAUUGAUGACUAAUUUACAGUAAAUAGGAAGGAUAGAGGGCAAUAUGAAAGAAAAAAAUAAAAUAAAUAACAUAUCAGAUGCCAGCUGUUGUAAAACUUGUACAAAAAGGGAAAGAAGGCUCCAGAGAUGUUCUUACAGGGAGAUCACGACCUCUGCAGCUACACAACUGGAGAAAGUGCGGUAGCCGGCUCCGGCGGCUCUUCCGGUGAACGGAUGACUUCAGGGACACGCGCAGGCUGGACGGUCUUUUCCGUUUUGGAGAGACGAGGAGUGCGGCGACUGAGACAUGACGUGGCCCCAGAGAUCCUCAGGAGAUGUUGCUCCGUCAGACGGAGGAUCUCUCUGCUUCAGGAGACGUUUGCCAGUUAUUUGUUCUUCGAUGAUGGUGUGAUGCUGAAUGAGACGCGUGCCAGCUGCUCUCUUCAGUCUGAAGCGUGACCCUGAUAACAGCAGCUGAUGACCGCAGGAGACGUCACACGCUGAAGCUCCUGCAGAUGCUGGUGAAUGCGGUCAUUAAUGGCGUAUGGGUCAACAGUGCUGUCAGGUUAUUUGUUCUUCGAUGAUGGUGUGAUGCUGAAUGAGACGCGUGCCAGCUGCUCUCUUCAGUCUGAAGCGUGACCCUGAUAACAGCAGCUGAUGACCGCAGGAGACGUCACACGCUGAAGGGAUCAUCACACCACCGCUGAAGAUGAGCUGGAGAGUGUGAAGCCCAACUGUUAAACAUCUGUUGCUUUAUAAAUAAAUAAAUAUACACACACACA
This is a long non-coding RNA of Onychostoma macrolepis, 1050 nucleotides long. RefSeq lists it as uncharacterized. Lineage: Eukaryota; Metazoa; Chordata; Actinopteri; Cypriniformes; Cyprinidae. The transcript has 7 exons. The record is from RefSeq and is a predicted model, not a curated record.